GGACUACUGCAGGGGACUCAGGGCUCGCCUGAACGGCUUGUCUCUGCUUGGGCAGCAGUGGCUGAGGCAGCCUGAAGGUUAGACAGGUGUGACUCAGUGGCUAGCGACUGGAAUCAUCUCAAGGCUUCCCUCCCUCAGACAUCUGCUGGCGGUGCUGGCGUUGGCCAUGACCUCAGUGAAAGCUGAUGGCCAAACACCUACGACGUGGCUUCUCCAUGUAUCCACUCGGCUCCCCACAGUGUGGCCUACAGUGAUGAGGGAGGAGCACAGGCCCCUCCCUCAGUGGGAGGAGUGUCGGCCUCCAUCUUGGAGACCCGAGAGCUGCUGUUGGCCAACUGGAAAAUGACCAUCUGCACAGAGAGGAACAGGGGAGGGACAGUGUCAUGGGCUUGUUGCUGGAGAA
Long non-coding RNA from Lontra canadensis (Northern American river otter), 403 nucleotides. RefSeq lists it as uncharacterized. NCBI's taxonomy places the organism in Eukaryota, Metazoa, Chordata, Mammalia, Carnivora, Mustelidae. The transcript has 3 exons. The record is from RefSeq and is a predicted model, not a curated record.